Molecule: long non-coding RNA, 7676 nt
Filed under: Chinchilla lanigera (long-tailed chinchilla)
Lineage: Eukaryota; Metazoa; Chordata; Mammalia; Rodentia; Chinchillidae
Description: lncRNA (ENSCLAG00000028496.1)
Source: RNAcentral
GAGCCUGAGCGGAGUCUAGUUCCUGAGAAACCAGAACCUAAGGAGCAGAUGGAAGAAUGAAUGUCAGCAGAUUUGGAAGAUGAAGCUGAAUGACCUGUCUCAGGAUAAUGAUUUCUGACCUCUCAGAAUAAUACCAGCUGUUAGCUGGGCAUGAUGACACCUGUAAUCCUAGCACUCAGGAGGCUGAGGCAGGAGGAUUGCUUGGAGUUCAAGGCCAACCUGAAAUGCAGAGCGAGACCUUGUCUCAGAAAAAAAAAAGAAUACGUGAGCUGGUGAGGUCAAGUUGGAGUGAAAGCAGUACACACUGCCAAAGUCUGAAAAUGAAACUGAUGACAUCAGUAACUCCUUGCUAUUUUCUAGACAGCAGGAGAGAUGAAGAGUCUCUGGCUCUACCUCUUGCACCACGUACGUCAUCAUGGGAAUACCCAUCGACCCUUCUUGUCAUUCAAAGGCUGAAUUGAGUAUUUCAGAAACUGAACAGGAAUUGCGAUUACAGCUGGAGGAGAGUAAGGAGAAGUUUCAUGAACUCAAAGGACAUUUUCUUCUGUCUGAAGCUACUGUCUAUUCCAUGGCUAAUGAGCUAAAAAAACACAAUUGUCGAAAGUUCAAAGACAUUAUUGAGUCUGUUCUGGGCGAGAAGCUGCAGUACAAGGAAGAAAGUCUGGCUGAGAAGCUGAGCCUGGCCAAAAAUCAGAGGGAAUGCACUUUGCAAACUCAAGAUCAAGAUGGGAAGCUGUCCUUACUUCAGCAGAAAUUACAGCAGGGGAGACAUGCCUCAUUUCUCCUAUGUCAACAUCUCAAGGACAUCCUCACCCGGAAUGACCCUAAUACCAACCAGGGUCACUGCUUCCGUGAGCUACUGGCUGAAGGCGUCAGGCUGGCAGAGAACCUUGUGCAAUUGCUCAGUUCAGAUAAUCAUCAAGAUGAGGAGUGUAAAAAGGAACAUGAAUUACUGUCCCCCAGGAUGAACCCUGAGGGCGCAAACAAGGAAAAAAUUGAACAAAUACUGCAGGACUCACUGCUUGGAGACUUUACGCCUUCCUCCCAUGGCUGCAGCUUGUGUAACACCGAGGAGCCUCCUCGGACCACUGGCAAUCUGACAGAUGAACGUGAACUCUCCUUUUUCCUAGAAAAAAACUAUCCUCAGGAUGCUGAGAACCAAGACAAAGAGGCAGAGCCAGUGGAGCCCAGGUUUCUCCAAGAAAAGGAGGAUAAAAAUAAUGUACUGCAGGAGAAAAUGAAUGAGAACUUGUUGGCUAUUUCCCAUUGCCAGGACUUGUGUGUUUCCCACCAGCCUGGCAAGAGUCCAGCACCCGAGACUGAGGAGCAUGUAGCUCCCUCCAAUCUGAAUGUGACAAAAAACCAGGACAAUGAAGACAAUGAAAAAGAACAGGAAUUUCUGGCCCUCAGGCUGAGCACAGAGGGAAUGGAAAAGGAAAAAAUAACCGAACUCCUUCAAGAUUCAUUAGGUGAAGGCCCUAAGACACGCACCCGUCACUACAACUUACCUGACAACCAGGAGCCUUGCUGCACUGCAGCUGUGCUGGCAGAUGCACAUGAAGUCUCAUCAUCUCUGGAUGCAGCGCAAAAUACCCAUGAUUAUAAGGAUGAAGACCCACAACCAAAGGCCUCCAGGAAAUAUUUUGGCAUAAUUCAGGCUCAUGCCAAGAAGCUGUCCCAGCUACGAAAGCAGCUAAGUGAAGCGAAAGAUACCUCUUUGUCCCUUGGACAGCAUCUGGAAUUUCUACUCACCCAAGAUGACGCUGAAGGCUACCAGGUUCAGGGCCACAUACAACAACUGGCCCAGGGGUGCAAGAUGGCUGAGAAUCUUGUCCUGAAGCUCAGUGAAGGAAAUAAUGAACAGGGAAAUAAUGGAAAAGAAGAAAAAGAACUUCUUUCUAAAAUGGAUGAUGAGGAUGGGGAUUUCAAUUUUCUAAUUGAAGUUCAGGCUCAAGACCUGACUAAAUUUAGGCUGAAGUUGGAGGCAGGGAGAGAGACAGCCUUUAUGCUCCAUCAGACUCUCAGCAGUCUCUUCCCUGAAGAUGACCAACACGGACACCAGAUGCAGAGUCACAGAGACAGACUUGCUGAGGGGUGCAAGCUGGCCAAGUGCCUUGCAUGCAGACUUAGCUCAGAUAAUCUAGACGAGGAGAAUGAGGAUGAUCAAAUGAUCCUGGAUUCCAGUCUGUGCGAAGAGGAAGAAGGUGAACUUCUGCCACAUCCACUAGAUGAAAAGUACUUGCUCCCUACCUGUCAUCCUGAUGUGGCUGAGCCACAGGAAUGUGCAGGCGGCGAUGCCUCCCCAUCACAGAAGCCUGAACAGUACUCUGCUCUGGGUGGAUCCGCUACUAUGAAGGAGGCCUGUGCCCAAGGUCUGUCGAAUGGAGAAUUCAGCUCCCACUUCUCAGAGCUGCAAGCUUCCCAGGCACAGGUGGAAUCACGCAUCCAGGGGAACCCUCGUCUGGGAAUACAGCUGUGUCAGUACUUCGACUAUCCUGACUGCAAAGCCAGGCUGAGCCUUUCUUCUGCCACUUGGGGCUUUGCAGCAUCCACUCACUGUGGUAGCCAGUGCCAGCCCUUCCAAGAGCUGAAUUUGGAUGCUUCUUUUGGAAUCAAGGGUUCUCCCAAGCUGGAGGGUUAUGCCUUUGAAGGAUCAGCAGCUGUCAUUCGUGGGUUUCCGAUCCAUGGCCUCUGUGAUACUGACAGUGUCCUGAAGCAGAAGAUUAUGAAAACUAAACUCUGGCUGUGCAAGUGGAAAAGAGCUUGCAGAGUCCCAGGCCUUCAGCUGAAGAUGGGUAUUUCCCGUGGAAUGAAUAAUUAUUACAAGCUGGAAAGUGAUGCCUGUGCAGGCUCAGCUGCCAUCAUUCACAGGUUUCCAAUCCAUGACCUUUAUGAUGCUGACAGUGUCUCGAAAGAGAAGAUCACCAAGAAAGAACUACCAUUAUGCAAGUGGAAAAUAGCUUGCAGAUUUCCAGGACUUCAUGCUUAAGAGUGAAGGUAACCACAUCUAUGGCAUUGGACACACUUAUUAUUUUAACACUCUCACUAGGAUUGGAGUUCAUUUUACUACCAUUGUUUCUCUUUAUAAUUUGUUCCAUCUCUUCAAAUUUAUUCCAUCCAGUGGUUGAUAUAACUUUUGUACUGUUACACCACUAUUUUCCAUGGGUUUCUACCCUGCCUGGACCAUUAGUUUCCGUGCUCUGUGAGGACUCUGAAUUCUGCUUUGUUGGCAGUGCUGCUGUCCUGGGAUUCUUGGUAACGGUCACAGAGAAGCACAGCACAACAGUACUCCACAUCAUAGGAAGAAGGUCUUUUAAAUACAGAAAAUGUGCUGUGUCCCCUGGAAUCACACACUUUCUGGCUUUUCUUCCUUCUCUUGCCACCCUCCCUAACUCCACUAGCUUUUUGAUUUGGGAGCACAGACUUCAUUAACUCUUGCACCAAGAUCCUCCUCUUUGGCCUGCUUCAGAGAUCCAGACUAAGUCAACCUUUCAUUCUCAACUUAAACAUGCAAAUGAAGAGUGUUCAAAUGGAUGAGAAACAUCCCUUCUCACAAAAACUAAAUUGGAUACAUGGCUGUAUGUGGGAAAAUCAUUUCGGUCUUGAGACAGUUUUGCCCCCCGCCCCAUGCAGCCAUGUGAAAUGUCCAUAGAUUCUGUAGGUCUCAGCAUCUAUUCCUCAGGGACUCUUUUAAGCUGAUGUUAACUGGUUAUUGUGGUUGGCAUCCUAAAGGGACCUCUGCCUGGCAGUGAACGCAUGUUAGUAUAAGUGCAUAGACCAUGAUCUGUUUAAGCAUUGUCUGUUUGCUGCUUGUUCCCAUUUCUGCUUCUGCACAUCCAGGUAAGAGUGCAAAAUGCAACUCUGUUCUAUCCAAUGCCUGGAAAUAUAAGAGAGUAUUGUAAUGAACUGCCUUUGAGAAAAGUGAAGCCCAGAGGUAGCUUUAUCUCUGAAAUGGUCUGAGGUUCCCUUUGGGCAUCAGUGUUUCGAAAAAGGCCUCAAGUGAGACCAAAAUAUCUUUAAAGGGGAAGAACCAUUCCUGUUCCUCAUCUCAGGUCAUCAGCAUGGAAGUGCUCAAAUGUGUAGUUCCUUCCCUGCAAGGGCUGAGGAUCCGUCAGCCAUUGAGGGCACUUGCAUUCCCCUCACAACAAGGAUGUUUGUGUAACACGGGAAACAUUCCAAGGAGGAGCAUGUAGAUGGAUACAUUAGAUGGUAGCCUCUCUACCUGAAGCACAGGUGUAUAGUCUCUUUUGAAAUGAAAUAAAAUAAGAAACAAUAAGUGUAUUGAAACUCAUUGUCUGAAAAGCAGUACCUACUUCUGUUACACAUAGUGGAAUUUACUAUUUUCUUUAUCAUUUUUAAAUAUGAAAAGUGCAGUAUAUAUUUGACCAUAGUAACUUCACAGCAGUUUUAUUAGAUUGGGACUAUAAUUUCCAUGUUGUAUAUUUGUUCAAUUAUUUACAAUAAGUAAAAUCCACAACUAAAGCCUUUCAAUCUUAAUCCCUUGAAGGAAAUAUAACAAAUGUUCAAAGCUGAAUCUCAGGACAUGAUUGUCCAUUUAUACUUUGAUAUGCCAUUUGUGACAUUGGCAUGAAGAAUCAAGUAAUAAUCUGCCCCAGAGGAGCACUUUGAGCAAAGAAAAUUACUGACUGGGCAGAGUAUAGUCAAACAUAAUGUAAUUUAUUUUCGUGUUAGAGGCUUUCUGGUGUAGAUAUUGAGAAUAUAUCUAUAGAAAUGCUCUCCUGUGUGACUGGGUGUGGAAUCACUUUCAAAGACCAUGAGCAAAAGUGUUGGACUGCGGUUGUUCCCACUGCUCUCUCACAGCUCGUUCCACUCUGAGGGAUUCCCCUCUCUCUUCUCUCAUGAUGUACCUUGGAAUGACACUUCUCAGAUUCCUCAGAAAUUCUUACUCUAUCUAUCCAAGGUGACCAAAGUUCAUGGAACAAGAUGGUAGCCUCCCUUCCACAGUGCUCGUGGAAAUGGCCUGAGGCCGUGGCUCUAGAUUCAGGGUUAUUGAGACAGGUCCUGUGACUUUAGUUAAAGCUCCCCUUCACCCUACAUGCUGUGGCAUCACUGUUUCCUCUUCAGUACACCUGAGGCUGAAAGUUGAUGCUGUCUGAGAUUCCUGCUUCUCCUCCACACUGGGCUUUUCCCAGUGCCCAGCCACUUUUCCCUUGUUCUGGAAUAUGAGUGAAAGACAGGGUGUUUCCGUGCAAGGGUCUGUUCCUUCCAGCAGCAGUCUGUUUCUGAAUGUGUAACAUGAAUGCAAAGCACAUCCUUCACAGGAUGUAGGAAAAGCCUUCCCUGUGUUCUUGCUGCAGAUGAUCAGGAGGAAAGUGGCUGGUGUCAGCAACCUCUCGGUGGGGCAGGCCAGGGACCCUAUGUCCUCCUUCGCAGGGUGGACUGCAUGUUCCAGAGGGUCUCUUGUACCCCGUGGAUGUGACUUCCUCUUCCACCAGGUUAAAGCUCAACCCUGUAGCUCUUUUCCCCCAGGGGACCUGCUGGGUCCUGACUCCUGUCACCACUGAGCGGAACAUCCAGGAGCAACUAUCAUCAGGACCUGACCAAGACUCUUGCUUGCUUUCUCUCUCCCUCUCUCAGAUACUGAGAAUGGCUGAAAGGAAGAAAAGACAUUGCUGAAGAAGAGAACUGAAACAUGAAGCCUAGUUUUUCCACUUCAUCAAAAAAAAUAGAAAACAGAAACUCAAUUUAAAGUCUGAAGAGAACACUGGAGUGAUUCCUUGUGAUCACUGAAUUUCAAAGCCCCUAAUUUCUCUUGAUGGUUUUCACUCCAACAGCCCAGUUGUAUUGGAUAAAUUCCAAUUCCUUGCCUCUGAUUUUGUGAAAUACCUGUGAAGAUUAAGACCUAAAUUUACAGAGCCAACAGAGAGACCUUAUUUCUGGUCCACUUAAUUCCCACUCUGCAUAAGACCAAAGGCAACAGCAGCUGGAUGAAGACAGCAAGGCCAGGUGGGCACUGCUUCCCACUGUGAUGCGUUAUGAGCGGGCAGUUGUAGCUAUGCAGUGUUUUCCUGAGGUGCUCAGCCUGGGUGUAACACAAGGAAACUGUCAGACAGAUGAAUAGUGUAGACCUAUGACCAGGAGAGCUGACAGCUUUUCCUCAGUCCAUGUCACCACAAGUACAGGACAAAAUGAAGAGGAGACACUUGCUUUUGAAAAACAUCCAUCACAUAUAUAUGUACAGUGGUACCUGGGUUCAUGAACUUAAUUCUCUCUCUGAUUCUGGUCACCAGCUGAAUUGGAUGAGGACCAAAUCAAAUUUCCUUAUAAGGUUAACAUUGAACCUGACUGCUGAAUUUGAUUUGGUUCUUGUCCAAUUCAGUUUGCAGCCAUAAUCGUGGAAAGAAUUAAGUUCAUGAACCGAGAUACCCCUGUAUAUCUUAUUUACUCAAAAAUAAAAUCUAGCCAGGAAGGAGUCAGCCUUGGGAACUAGAGAUCACAAAUGCCAGCCCCAAUCAGCUUAUCCUUGCCUUCGCUGCCUUCACUAUUCUCUUGCUCCAUGGCUGCUCCGGAAGGCAAGGAUAAGCUGAUUGGGCUGGCAGUUUUGAUCUCUAGUUUUCAAGGCUGAUUAUUUUCUGGCCAGGUCUUAUUUUCAGGGAGAAAAGGUAUGUUAGUGCUUUUGAAACGCAAACCUCUCCUCUCCUUUUUGUCCUCACAUUUGUAGGUGAAAUUGACUUGUGUGUAGAGGACAGGUCAGUUGUUGUCUGACUCCUGGCCUAUAUUUGGCUGCUGUGUGACUAUUUCUUCGGGAUUAAACUCAGCCUAAACAUAUAGCCAAAAACACCAGGCAGCAAGCACACAUAGUACCCCACACUUCCUGCCACUUUCUGCCUGCAGGCAGUGUCCACUUUGUAUAUCGCCCUUUACUUCCUGUUGGCUCUGGUCACCUGGCAAAGGAGGCAUCCUCUGGAGCUGUCCAGGGGGUAGACACAUUGUGCCCUCAAUAAUUCUGAAGCGGUUUCUAGGCAGCUAUUUUGAGAAAGUGAAAAACAUCUUAUUUUCCAGUGGUUUUUCUUUAAAAACGUUGCCAGCUUAUAUCGUCGCUACCUGCAUAAAUUGUUAUACCUGGACAUAUCCUGGCCAUUGGGUAAUUCAGUGUUUCCUGUUUAUCAGUUUUCUGGCAUUCUGAUAAAAAACCCCACCGUCUCCUUGAGUUUUAAUUUUAAUCCAAAGCUGAUAUUCACAUCAAUAAUUAAAACAUUUUUGUUUUUCAGUAUGGACUCAUGGAUGUUUUUAUAUUCAAUGUUAUAACAUUUUAUUACUACUAUCAAUUUGAUGAAUAAGGGUAAAAAUCAAUAUAAACUCUGUCAUUUUACUACUUGGAGUCUACAUUCUUCCAUAUCUUUUAAAUUGCAUUUAUUAUAUGUGAUAGAUUAUAUUACUUGUAGUUCUGUCUUUUUGUUAUUUGUGUGUGUUCUGUUUGGCAUUUAGGAAAUAUUGUUUAGCUCAUUUUUAACAUUAGUGUAAAAUAUCUUUGACAAUUUUAGUUUCCUUUACCUGGAAAAUAUCUAAUAUGUGGCUUAUGAAUUUGACAUGAUAUUUUUCAAACUCAAAGGUUGAUGGUCAGUGACGUUAUUCAUUAUCUUCAUUUCUACUCACUAUAUCUGCCACUAGAGUGUCAUUUCACCCAUUCAAAUAUAUUCCAAGUACAUUUUUCC